GUGGUUAAUCUGUUUCUAUACAUUUGUAUUUCUAGAAAAUCAGUUCCUCCUCAUCCUCACAAAACAAAAUCUAAGGGACAAACUCUGACCACCUACUCUCAGAGAGGACACAGGCACACAUUUUCAUGUCACGCUCCUGGGAAUGGAAGUGAAGAAAACCUCUUAUGGGGGAAAGCACUUCAGCCACCCCUGAACAAAGGAAUUUCUAACGCUGACUGUCUGCAUGGUGAGAGAAGAAGAAAUAGAGGGGGGUAUCCAUGGCUGCUUUCACUUGAGGAUAGCAGUCCAGCAGGUGCAGCAGAGAUCACAUUGUCCACAGAGCCUAAAAUAUUUACUACCUGGCCCUUUAUAGGAAAAGUUUGCCAACUCCUGCUCUAAAACAGCUGUACUUUCUCUCUAACAGAAAGAUAGGAGGUAAGUAAAAUAAUUGAAAAUAAUUUCUUAAUGUGCCAUGACUCACGAAAUGAAGUGUUAUGAAAGAGAAUCACUGCAGUGACAGGAUGUGGUUAAAGGCAUCCCUCUUUAAAAUGUGAGCACCCAGAGGGGGGAAUCUUCAAGAGGAGGUCUGAAUCCUGGGACAGAGCUUAUUACUGAGGAAUUUGUAGAUUAUUUAGCUUGCCCAAUAUCCAGUGCCUCUGCUUUGACCUGAACAAAGGAUGACAAAGAAACCAUUCUCCUUUCUGGAAUGAAAAGAUUUCCUUCCCUUUCAAAUGGGAGCCUAGGAUGAUGCAGUGAGGGGAAUGACAGAUGAAAAUGUUCAGCACAGUGUUUGACACCAACUUGGCACUCAACAAACACCCCCUCCUUCCUUCUUGUCCUUGCCACCUGCUGGACUACAAUUGGCCUGCUGCCUGAACUUGCAAAGAUUUGUACAUCAUGAACACAAUGCUUUAUGCUUUAAAAUGGGCAUUGACAUUUAAUAUAGUAAAGUGAGGGUUAGAAAUGUGUCUCCUAACUCAGAAUACAUUGUAUUGUCCAGCUGAUGAAUCCCAGAGGGAAAAAAUGUGCUAGCUCAGUCACCCCAUUUGCGAUUGGGGCACA
Molecule: long non-coding RNA, 1041 nt
Filed under: Sus scrofa (pig)
Lineage: Eukaryota; Metazoa; Chordata; Mammalia; Artiodactyla; Suidae
Description: lncRNA (ENSSSCG00070013243.1)
Source: RNAcentral